Molecule: long non-coding RNA, 346 nt
Filed under: Mus musculus (house mouse)
Lineage: Eukaryota; Metazoa; Chordata; Mammalia; Rodentia; Muridae
Description: long non-coding RNA chr9:74115326-74115672
Source: RNAcentral
GCGAAUCAACUCCCACUUUAUGCAUGACUAUAGAAUCCAAAUACUUUUUGUGAUACACUCAGUAGUUUUCUCCUCUUUCGGCUGAGAGAAACCUUAAAUAAUUCUCCAUGCCUGCUUUUUAAGAAACAUGGUACAUCCAAUUAUAAUCAUUACUUCAGAAAGGGACUUUCUAAUUGCCUUGUUCUUCUCAUCUUUCCAUUUACUUAUUUAGCUUAAGAGAAACACAGAGUGAUUCUAAGCAGCUUUGCCAUGCCCUGGAUGCAGAGGCAAUUGAUUGCUUGUUCUGUGGGCCCACAAGGACAGGACAGGAUUUGGAGAAUUCCAUUUCCCUACACUUCCGUUUUCU